This 410-nucleotide ribosomal RNA is filed under the name Caulobacteraceae bacterium Ellin7173. Its description in RNAcentral is "bacterial SSU rRNA". It matches the Rfam family "Bacterial small subunit ribosomal RNA", at positions 29 to 486 of the family's 1533-position model. The record is from RNAcentral. Lineage: Bacteria; Pseudomonadati; Pseudomonadota; Alphaproteobacteria; Caulobacterales; Caulobacteraceae.
AGCGAACGCUGGCGGCAGGCCUAAUACAUGCAAGUCGAACGCACCUUCGGGUGAGUGGCGGACGGGUGAGUAACGCGUGGGAACGUGCCCUUUGGUUCGGAACAACACAGGGAAACUUGUGCUAAUACCGAAUGUGCCCUUCGGGGGAAAGAUUUAUCGCCAUUGGAGCGGCCCGCGUUGGAUUAGCUAGUUGGUGGGGUAAAAGCCUACCAAGGCUACGAUCCAUAGCUGGUCUGAGAGGAUGAUCAGCCACACUGGGACUGAGACACGGCCCAGACUCCUACGGGAGGCAGCAGUAGGGAAUCUUGCGCAAUGGGCGAAAGCCUGACGCAGCCAUGCCGCGUGAAUGAUGAAGGUCUUAGGAUUGUAAAAUUCUUUCACCGGGGAAGAUAAUGACGGUACCCGGAGAA